GGCACCGGUUGCAAGCUGCAGGGGGAGCUGACUGUCACGUCAUCCCAGGCAGCAUUCCAGCCUCCAGGGGGAGCCAAGGAGUCGGCAGCUGAGAGCUCUGUUUCUCAUGGGAACCAAGGUCAUCGCCUUUGCAGAGGCCGGAAAAGCAAAGGUAAACAGAGGCAGACGCCUGCAGAUGGCCAGAAGCAGAGGGAGGGUGAAGAGCCCACGCCAGAGGAAAACAAGGUUUUGUUUGCUGGCAAAGCUUCACCAAAGGCUAAAGGCAAGUCUGAUGGCCAGGAGCAGGGGGGCAAGCUGCAAAAGCCCACGCCGGUGGAAAACAAGGUUUUGCUUGCUGCAAAAGCUGCUCCAAAGGCCAAGGCCAGGUUUGUUGUUGAUUCAGGCUGUACCCGCCAUGUGUCGAAAGACCGC
Molecule: non-coding RNA, 411 nt
Organism: Podarcis lilfordi (Lilford's wall lizard)
Lineage: Eukaryota; Metazoa; Chordata; Lepidosauria; Squamata; Lacertidae
Source: the annotation of a GenBank genome assembly